GUGGCCUAUCGAUCCUUU
Molecule: small nuclear RNA, 18 nt
Filed under: Arabidopsis thaliana (thale cress)
Lineage: Eukaryota; Viridiplantae; Streptophyta; Magnoliopsida; Brassicales; Brassicaceae
Description: snRNA_07720
Source: RNAcentral